UACAACAUGGCAAAGUCGAGCGGGGACGGGUAGCUUGCUACCUGACCUAGCGGCGCAACGGGUGAGUAAUGCUUAGGAAUCUGCCUAUUAGUGGGGGACAACAUUCCGAAAGGAAUGCUAAUACCGCAUACGCCCUACGGGGGAAAGCAGGGGAUCUUCGGACCUUGCGCUAAUAGAUGAGCCUAAGUCAGAUUAGCUAGUUGGUGGGGUAAAGGCCUACCAAGGCGACGAUCUGUAGCGGGUCUGAGAGGAUGAUCCGCCACACUGGGACUGAGACACGGCCCAGACUCCUACGGGAGGCAGCAGUGGGGAAUAUUGGACAAUGGGCGAAAGCCUGAUCCAGCCAUGCCGCGUGUGUGAAGAAGGCCUUUUGGUUGUAAAGCACUUUAAGCGAGGAGGAGGCUACUUGGAUUAAUACUCUAGGAUAGUGGACGUUACUCGCAGAAUAAGCACCGGCUAACUCUGUGCCAGCAGCCGCGGUAAUACAGAGGGUGCGAGCGUUAAUCGGAUUUACUGGGCGUAAAGCGUGCGUAGGCGGCUUUUUAAGUCGGAUGUGAAAUCCCUGAGCUUAACUUAGGAAUUGCAUUCGAUACUGGGAAGCUAGAGUAUGGGAGAGGAUGGUAGAAUUCCAGGUGUAGCGGUGAAAUGCGUAGAGAUCUGGAGGAAUACCGAUGGCGAAGGCAGCCAUCUGGCCUAAUACUGACGCUGAGGUACGAAAGCAUGGGGAGCAAACAGGAUUAGAUACCCUGGUAGUCCAUGCCGUAAACGAUGUCUACUAGCCGUUGGGGCCUUUGAGGCUUUAGUGGCGCAGCUAACGCGAUAAGUAGACCGCCUGGGGAGUACGGUCGCAAGACUAAAACUCAAAUGAAUUGACGGGGGCCCGCACAAGCGGUGGAGCAUGUGGUUUAAUUCGAUGCAACGCGAAGAACCUUACCUGGUCUUGACAUAGUAAGAACUUUCCAGAGAUGGAUUGGUGCCUUCGGGAACUUACAUACAGGUGCUGCAUGGCUGUCGUCAGCUCGUGUCGUGAGAUGUUGGGUUAAGUCCCGCAACGAGCGCACCCUUUUCCUUAUUUGCCAGCGGGAUAAGCCGGGAACUUUAAGGAUACUGCCAGUGACAACUGAGAGGCGGGGACGACGUCAGGUCAUCAUGUCCUUACGACAGGGCUACACCACGUGCCUACAAUGAUCGUUACAAGGAUGCUACUAGCGAAAGAUGCUAUCUCAAAGUCGAUCGGUAGUCCGGAAUUGGAGUCUGAUA
Molecule: ribosomal RNA, 1260 nt
Filed under: Acinetobacter johnsonii
Lineage: Bacteria; Pseudomonadati; Pseudomonadota; Gammaproteobacteria; Moraxellales; Moraxellaceae
Description: bacterial SSU rRNA
Rfam family: Bacterial small subunit ribosomal RNA
Source: RNAcentral